Molecule: long non-coding RNA, 1404 nt
Filed under: Monodelphis domestica (gray short-tailed opossum)
Lineage: Eukaryota; Metazoa; Chordata; Mammalia; Didelphimorphia; Didelphidae
Description: lncRNA (ENSMODG00000036074.2)
Source: RNAcentral
AGUAGUGGUAGUCUCUUGGAAGCCGAGAGUGACAAUUGUCUUUGUGCAUUAUCAUCUAUUGAUGUACCCUCAUGUGGCUUUGGAGUCCAAAGGCUGAGGCGCACAGUUUGUGGCACAUGGGGCCUGGGAUGCCAGUUGUUAUGGGAGGUGCCUUUGUGGCCUGGUGUCGGUGUUCACGCGCAGCAGCAAGACGUCGACGUCGCUCAUCUUCAAAGGUGGCGGUGGCCUGGUGAAUGUGGGUUCGACAGCUGCUUCUGUCAGAGGCAGCGAGUUCUAGUUGCUUUGGUGUCAUGCCAGCCCACUUCAAGUUGGACUUUAGCUGAUCCUUGAAUCUCUUCUUUGGUCGGCCUUGUUUCCUGAGUCCAGCUGACAGCUCACCAUAGAAUACCUGUCUUGGUAUUCGCUGUGGGUCCAUGCGGAUGACGUGUCCAGACCAUCGUAGAUGGGUUCUGAGGACCAGGACUUCGAUGCUGGUGGAGUUGGCUCUGUCGAGGACUUCCUGGUUGGUGAUUCGGUCCUGCCAUCGGAUCCUCAUGAUUGACCGGAGGGAGCGUUGGUGGAAUUGCUCCAGCUGUUUCAUGUGCUUCCGGUACAGUGUCCAUGUCUCACAGCCAUACAGGAGCAAGCUGAGGACCACUGCGUUAUACACUUUGAGCUUCGUGGCAGUGCUUACACCUCUGUGUUGGAGGACUUUGCAGCGCAGCCGCCCGAGUGCCUGGCUGGCCUUUUGGAUCCUGGUAUUAAUCUCAUGGUCUAGGGACCCGUCGUUGGCGAUGGUGCUGCCCAGGGUUUGGAGACAAGAUAGAAGCUUAGAGGCAGUGAAAGCUAAAACUGUUAUGAAAAUCCUUCCAAAGCAACCUUGAAAGAAGUACCUCAAAAUGACAUGGGUCAAACACCAAGAAAGAGUGAGGGGGUUCUCCUGUGGGAAACAACUCGAAAGGUAGGCAUAGUCAAUUUUCAUAGGAUAAGUCGGGAACUGGAAGUUAAAAUGAACAAAGAGGGGUGCUGGGCAACCACACACCACCUAUUGAACUAAGUUCUUAGCCUGGGAAUAGGUCAAUUUCAGAAUCCUGAGACCCUGUAUACACCAACUCAGAGCCUCCCACACCCACACCUUGAAGUCCCAAGCUCUGUCACCAAACUGAAAUGAGGCACCAAAGUCCGUAACUCUUGGCCUUUUCAAGCAUGUGCUGAAUUGAAACCUGUAGCCCCAGGGUAAAAUAGCUUACAAUGCUGAGUCCUGCAAGCCAUUAGCAGAGGAGAUAGAAUCAUCAGCUUUCAGAACUGCCAGUCCACAGGUGAAAAAAAAAAGGCUGGGAAAAGGAGGAAACAACAAAAGAAACACCCAAUCAUAGAAAAUGUCUAUUGAGACAAAGAAUAAAGCAUGGAGUCAAAUAAGGAACA